RNAcentral lists this non-coding RNA (336 nucleotides) under Selaginella moellendorffii. Its description in RNAcentral is "Eukaryotic large subunit ribosomal RNA". It matches the Rfam family "Eukaryotic large subunit ribosomal RNA", at positions 1891 to 2358 of the family's 3401-position model. The record is from Rfam by way of RNAcentral. Lineage: Eukaryota; Viridiplantae; Streptophyta; Lycopodiopsida; Selaginellales; Selaginellaceae.
UGGAACAAUGUAGGUAAGGGAAGUCGGCAAAAUGGAUCCGUAACUUCGGGAAAAGGAUUGGCUCUGAGGGUUGGGCUUAGGGGUCUGCGGCUUGACCCUGUAGGCUGCUGGCGGUCUGCCCGAGCUGCUUGCGCGGCGAGGGCGGGCCCCGGCGUGCCGACCUGGUGACGGACGCAGAACGCCCCUCCCCGCGGGGGGCAUUCCCUAGGCAUCGAACAACCGACUCAGAACUGGAACGGAAAAGGGGGUGCACUCUUGUUCAUGGGCCCUUUCCCUCUAUAUUUGAACCCCAACGGAUCGUCUCUCGAGUCAUUCCCUUUGGUUGCUUACAAUCCA